Stegodyphus mimosarum is the source of this 73-nucleotide non-coding RNA. The record is from Rfam. Lineage: Eukaryota; Metazoa; Arthropoda; Arachnida; Araneae; Eresidae.
GCCUUCGUGGGAUAAUGGUCAGCACGCUCGACGUAUAACCGAGAGGACCGUGGUUCGAUUCCCGGCGAAGGCG